RNAcentral lists this ribosomal RNA (505 nucleotides) under uncultured bacterium. RNAcentral's name for it is "partial 16S ribosomal RNA". It matches the Rfam family "Bacterial small subunit ribosomal RNA", at positions 28 to 507 of the family's 1533-position model. The record is from RNAcentral.
GACGAACGCUGGCGGCGUGCCUAAUACAUGCAAGUAGAACGCACAGUUUAUACCGUAGCUUGCUACACCAUAGACUGUGAGUUGCGAACGGGUGAGUAACGCGUAGGUAACCUGCCUGGUAGCGGGGGAUAACUAUUGGAAACGAUAGCUAAUACCGCAUAAUAUUAAUUAUUGCAUGAUAAUUAAUUGAAAGGUGCAAUUGCACCACUACCAGAUGGACCUGCGUUGUAUUAGCUAGUAGGUGAGGUAACGGCUCACCUAGGCGACGAUACAUAGCCGACCUGAGAGGGUGAUCGGCCACACUGGGACUGAGACACGGCCCAGACUCCUACGGGAGGCAGCAGUAGGGAAUCUUCGGCAAUGGACGAAAGUCUGACCGAGCAACGCCGCGUGAGUGAAGAAGGGUUUCGGAUCGUAAAGCUCUGUUGUAAGAGAAGAACGGGUGUGAGGGUGGAAAGUUCACACUGUGACGGUAUCUUACCAGAAAGGGACGGCUAACUACGUG